Loxodonta africana (African savanna elephant) is the source of this 73-nucleotide non-coding RNA. Lineage: Eukaryota; Metazoa; Chordata; Mammalia; Proboscidea; Elephantidae. The record is from Rfam.
CCCUGAGUGGUGCAAAUGGUUAAGCACUUAGCUACUAACUGAAAGGUUGGUGGUUCAAAUCCACCCAGAGGUG